AACAAAUCAAGUCAAAGGCUGAGCUCAAAAUUAAAAGCAAACUCUCAAUCGUUCAACUAAAUAAGCAUAAAAUGUUUUAUAUGUUAAAAUAACAUAAACAGUAGGAAUUGCAUCAAUUAUCAAUGAUUAGACAAAAAUAAUAUCACAUUGCCUAAGAUUUGAAAAGGAAAAGAGAAAGGGCAAGGCAAUCACAAAUAAGAAAAUAAUUUAACAAAGCAAAGAGAAGAUCAUAGCAACAAAAUUGAAAUCCUCAUCAAUGAAAUAUAGACACAAAUGAUCAGUCCAACAGGGAUGGCAGUCCAGGCAGAGAGCUCCUUGGCAUCGUUGUGAUGUCCUGUCGACUCAGUUACUUGCUUUUUUCCCUUUACCAAGAAAUGAAUUGAUCCAUGGAGAAAGCAGAUGACCUCUGUUAGUAGCAAUUUGCUUGUUACGUCAUCUCUUUCAAGAAAAAAUUGAGCCCAUAAAAUGUUUUGCUAAUAAAAUGGAUCACAUAAUCACACAUGAACAACUUCUUUCAUUUCCAUUCUCAAAUUCAUCAUCUGAAUCAGCUGUUUCACUUGGCUCAAAUUCCCUGAUUUCAACAAGCUCACUCCCACAAACAUCCGUCCACUGCACUUUUCUCCUUUCUGUAAGACCAGGGACAUCACUGCCUUUUUCACCCAAUGCAUUGUGUUGAUUAGAAUCCUCAACGGGAACUGGAAUGCUACUUGAUGGCUUCUUCAAGCUACUCUUAAGAGCAACUCUUCUUGCAUAAUUAUCACCUUGAACUUCAGUUGUAUGGUCUUUGCCCUUGUCAGUGACAGGAGGAUCUGGCAAGACAUCCUGCUGUUGGGCAGGGCCUACUUUGAGAGGCGAUGGAGAAUCAAGCCCUGCGGAAGCGCGACCAAAGCAAACAAAGGAAGCGCACCCGCGGGAAAGCCGGUUCUUCAAGGAAGCCAGCUGGAGGUUAGGGUCUGGUUCGUUAUCCACCAACUGGUACUGAUUCCACGGCGAAACUCUCAUGGGUUUAUCUUCGGGCUUCUGACCCAAGAGAAGAAGGGUCAGACCCUUGCUAUACCCAGAAGCUGAAGAAGAGAAGAACCCUCCUCCUUCCACGGCCAAUAACAUCAGUUCUAAUCAUCUGGGCACCAAAAAAUAUAGUGUUGGUGUAGCUCCCAGUCCUUUUGCAUUAACAAAGACACCAGCCCUUCAGACACCCAUAUCUCAGUGUCAGACAGGUUGUGAGGCUGCAAAAAGCCAUAAAAAAAAUAUAUAUGUAUAAUAUAAAAAAAUAGAAGAGAUAGAAAGAGAUUAAAAAUGAUAAUGACAAUGAAAAUCCGAAUGAUGAAGUUCGCAAGGGUUGCUAUGAACCAAUAUAUGGUAUUGAACUUGCGAUAGCAGCUGAUGUACCACUAAUAAUUAUAAAUGUACACCCCCAAACCAUCUCACUAGCAGAAACAGUAAAUCCCCAGCCAUAAAAGAAUGAAACAACCAGAACAAGGGGAAAAAAAAGUGGCAAAGAAAAUUGCACUAAAUUCAAUAAUCAGUCAGAGAUGAGAGAACCAAUCUGUCGCAGGUAAAAAGAAUACUUAAAAUCUACUCCACAUUAAGUCAUAUCACAAACGGUCAACAAAAGUUUUGACCAGGAAAAAUGGCAGGGAAUUGACAAAUGAUAACUGAUCAUGGAAAGCGUCAAACCAUUAAAUAAAUGCAACCCAAAUCUAACAAACAUGCAAAAUCGGAAUUAGCUUAUCAAAACAUGAUAAAGAAACACAAAAUCGGAAGAAUCACAAGCUGUGAAAGUACUAAACAGCACCUUUUACCAUUAAUUGCCUUCAAAUAUACCUGAAGAAACUUCACAACAAUGGCAGAACCAGAUACUUUCACCAGCUGAUCUAAAUGCAAUAAUAAACAACGAUUGAAACAAACAAAAUUUCUUUAAUUUUUCCAAAAAAAACACAAAAUUCCUGCAAAUCAUCAAUAAUUAAAGUACAAAAUCCUCAUUUCGCAAGCCAAAAAGGACAGUAAAGAUCUGUUUAUUCCAAGUAGUAAUAAUAAUAAUAAUUAUAAUUAGCUAACAUGCAUCGCUCACUUCAGCUAUUCCUCACACCUCUGUUUUGUUACAGAGAAAACACACACACACACAAAAAAGCAAAAUUCUCAUUAAACUACUUUUUUUCACAGUGCCAUUGAAACCAACUCAUAACAAAAGAUUUUCUCGUGAAACUAAGAGAAAAUAGGAUACCUGAAAAGGACAGCACAGAUCUGAGAGAGAGAUUCUCGGAGUCUAAAUCGGCGGCGCCGGCAUAUCAGGUCGAAUAAAUCGGCGAUGAAUUGGAGAAGGGAAAAAAAACUGAAGGAGAAUAAAUAAAAAAGAAAAAGGAAAAACAUAAAACAGGGGUAAAAAAUUAAAAAGAUU
RNAcentral lists this unclassified non-coding RNA (2398 nucleotides) under Hevea brasiliensis (rubber tree). The record is from RNAcentral. Lineage: Eukaryota; Viridiplantae; Streptophyta; Magnoliopsida; Malpighiales; Euphorbiaceae.